Molecule: long non-coding RNA, 3310 nt
Filed under: Mus musculus (house mouse)
Lineage: Eukaryota; Metazoa; Chordata; Mammalia; Rodentia; Muridae
Description: long non-coding RNA chr9:41228881-41232191
Source: RNAcentral
GUCACUGUUGUACCAUCGAAAUGAGUGAGAAGCCCCGCCUGAUACCCUUUUGAAGUUGGCUUCCGCCAGGAGUGAAUACAAUACCCUCUGGGUAGCUAGGAAGUCCCGAGGUGCAGGCUUCUCCCUGGCUUCGUGGAAAAGUGGCCUGGUGACCUGCAAAAAAUGACUUCGGAAGAGCGAUGUCCGUCUGGAGAGGGACUGCGGGUGGGAGAGCGGUGCUGGGAGGGAGACGUCUGUAUCGCAUUAGUCUGCGUCUGGCGGGGAGGGGCUGGAGGCCCUGGCGGGUCAAGGCAACUGCUCCCUGCUGCUUUCUGGCGCGAAUGUGGAAUCUGGUAGUGAUUAGAGAAGGUUAUUGUCUUGGGAGUGCAGGGAGAUCGGUAGUAAUACUGCUUUGAGCGUUUCUGACCCCAUCUUAGAAGGCCUCUCCCACGACUCUCCUGCUGGGCUCUGAUUUUAGAGCCACUAAGCAAAGAAAGACAAGGAAAACUGAGGCCUAUUCCUUAAGCCUAUCCACUCCCCGGGGCUUACAGGGGACACUCCAGGAGGAGCACAGAUGAGAACACACAUCCCUAGACAGAAAACCCCAAGUAAGCCUCUAUUUUUCUUAGCCCUCCUUCCUGUGGAGUGAAUAUCAUUUGGUCCAUUUGUUAUGAGAAGAAACAGAGACUUGGAACUGACAUUUGAACCCGAGUCUUUUGAAAUAUAAAGAGAAUGGAUGGUAAAAUAACUACUUGUGGUUACUGGCUAAGAAUUCUGCCCUUGAAAAUUUGGAGAAAGAGCUCCUCCCUGUGCAGCUUCGACAAUAACCCACUUCAAGGCGAGCUGAAGCCAGGGUACCUUUUGGCGGCACCUUUUUCUUCUUCUUUUUCUUCUCUCCUUCACUUUCUCCCCAUCUCUUCCCCUGGGUUUCACUGCAUACCUCAGGUUGACCCUAUCCCUUCUCUUCUCCCCACGUGCUGGGAUCUGACGGUCGGGCUACUCCUAGAUCAGAGUGGCUCUCUAAUAAGUCAUAAUCUGUUUAUAGCCAUUCAUAAAAGCAGAGUGCUUCUGUGCACAUUAGCUAAUUUGGCUCUUAUAAUAACUGUCUUAUCCCCAUUGCCGUAGACAAAGAAUCUGAGACGCUGAGGAAUUAAUUUGCCGAAGGUGCUACAGUCAAUGAUGAAAUUCAACCUCGGAUCUUUUUGCUCUAAAUACAGCACCCACUGCCCAUCACCCAUUGCCCGAUACCAGUUAGUCUCCAGGUAAAUAUUGGGUGAUGGAGUGAUGCUGUGUAUAAUCUAGCUAGCAAUAAACUGAUCUUAAGUUUAGGUAGCAUUUUAUCUCCGAAGAUGGUGCUCCAACCCAGGAAGAUUACACUGGAGACCCUGCCUCAAGGGGACGGAAGACUUCUGAAAGUUGUCCUCUGACUUCCGCAUGAGCGCUGAGGUGCAUGAACACACACGCGUGCGCACACAAACACACACACACACACACACACACGCAUACAGACACACACAGACACACAUAUGUGUGUGCACACACACAACUCAUGCACGCAUGCAAGAAUGCACGCAGUAUACCCAUAACCACACAUACACGCAGGCAUGUGCACAUAUGCAUGCGUAUACAUUUAUUGUGUGUGGAUGAGUGCUCCCAUGCCAUGACUGGCAUGUAAGGGUCAGAGGGCAGCUUGUAACUGGACUCAAAUAAAUUUCUAAAACUUUUUAAAAGGGUGAAGAUUACAAUUUAUCUAUCUAUGUAUCUAUCUAUGUAUCUAUCUAUGUAUCUAUCUAUGUAUCUGUCUAUGUAUCUAUCUAUGUAUCUAUCUAUGUAUCUAUCUAUGUAUCUAUGUAUCUAUGUAUCUAUGUAUCUAUGUAUCUAUGUAUCUAUCUAUCUAUCUAUCUAUCUAUCUAUCUAUCUAUCUAUCUAUCUAUCUAUCUUGCAGUUCACACAGCUCUGGGGUGAUUAAUACAUCUUCUUCCUGUUCCAGAGGUACCAGAUUUAGAAAAUAAGAACCCAGAACUCCUAAAAUUAGAUUUCUUAUGGGGUUAUUGAGACAUGUAUGCUAACAAGCCAACUGUUUAUCGGAAAUGUAAAUGUAUCUGACCAUUGUGCGCUUUCAUCUGUCGACUGUACCCUGUCUCCAAAGAGAGAAAGCUGAGCUUGGUGUUCUCUCAAGCAUGCUUGAAUUUUGGACAUGACUAUGUUUUUAAAAGGACAAUUUGAAAACACCCUAUCAAUGUACCAACGUUCAAAUUCUCUGUUACAGUUUCGUCAGAAACCCUUUGAACUGUGCUUGCUUCACGGUAUCCCCUCAUGGAAUCAUUUUUAAGUGAAUCCUAAGGAACAAAACAGUGGCAGAGCAGUUUGAAAACACAAAGGGCCUCAGGACAAUUGUGAAGGAAAGCAGAGCAGAUCACUGUACCAAGUACCCCAGGGAAACCACACCGUGGAAAGGAAUCCCUGAGGAGGGCCGAGUGGAAUAUUCUCCCUAGGCACACAUUUAAUCAAACUUCAAAAGAAAGACAGCCAUUCCCUUUGGAAGCCAUUAUAUAAUGAAGUCAACCCUGCUUUCAACUCCAAAACUAAUUACUGGAUUUAUUCUUCUUACUUAAUCUAUUCCCAGGUAUUUGGACAAAAUGCUAUUCUCUAUUACUUUGCUAAGACAAACAGAAACCAUAAGUAACAUUAAUUUGUCCCUACUAGGUGUGCGCAUGCUGAUUUUAGAACUACCAGUCAGUAUUUGCAUAUAGAGGAGUCAUCACAUUUAUAAAGAAGGCCCAUUACACAUAGAGAAGGUUUUUAAAUCUAACACACAUCAAAGUAGAUCCUGGUCUCAUAAGGAAAACAUCUUAUUCUGCAAAGACAAGACACAUGGCUCUUUUUAAGAUAAGGUCUUACUCCAUGACUCAGGCUAGCCUGGGACGCACUGCAUAGCUCUCACUGGUUUUGACUGUGCCACAAUCCAUCUUCCUCAGCUCUUUCUAAGUGCUAUGAUUACAGGUCUGAUUUACUUUAUCCAACUUGGAAUGUUUGGGUCUUGAAGUCUUAAAGCCACACACUGAAGAGUGGACAACUCAUGUGUACCAUGUGCACACAUAAAUAAACCAUCACCUAGCACCUGUUAGGGUGGGUAUUACUAAACACAUAUGUAAGUGUUGGUGAGGAUGUGGGGAGCAGACCCAUGUGCACAGUUGAUGGGAAUGUCUAUCAUUACUGUUAUUACGAAAAAUAGUGUGUAUGUUCCUAAGAACUAGAACCUUUAUGUGCUCCUACAAUCCCUCAUUUGAUUAUGUAGCCAAAGGAAAUAAAAAGAGCAUCUUAAAGAGGU